RNAcentral lists this long non-coding RNA (1101 nucleotides) under Homo sapiens (human). RNAcentral's name for it is "HSALNT0398817". Lineage: Eukaryota; Metazoa; Chordata; Mammalia; Primates; Hominidae. The record is from RNAcentral.
GUGAGCCGGACGCAGGCGUGCCUGCGCAGUGCGCGGAGGAGUGCUGUUCGUGUGUUCGAGUCCCUGGGUUGCUUCCUGGGGUCUGUGGUGCUGGGUGUGCUAUCUGCGUGUGAUUCUCUAGCGAGAGAUUGUGGGCGAGUGACCGAGUGGGCAAGGGGCCGUCACUGUGUGUGCGUGAUUUUGACAGUGUGUGGUGGUAGCUUCUGACUCCGCGUGGGUCGUUGAAUGUAUGACUGGGACCGUUUAGCGGUGGAUACACAACUGUGUGCGGCUGUGGAAGAUUGCCUCAUCCGUUACGUUCCCAUUUCCGUGGAACAACAGUUUUACCAGAAGGUUUCGAAGGAACCUUAAAGUUUGGAAGCGUAAGAGUUUAUCUGGCGGCUUUGGUGUCAUCAAAUGUGAGAAGCCCUGGACUUUACACAUCCCGAGCCAGUGUGAUCCAGUAUGAUUGGGAGUCCGAGUGCCAGAUGCCGGUCAGGACCUGUUAUGCUGGGUCUCAGAAUGCGGAAACUCUCCCUGUCCGAGGUGGAACAGUUUGUCCUUGAAGAUGGGAGCCUCACUGUAUUGCCCAGGCUGGUCUUGAACUCCGGAGCUCAAGUGAUCGUCUUGCUUCAGCCUUGCAAAAUGAUGGUGAAGCUGCAUCAUUGUCUGGGGUAAAUACCUGAGGUUCGUUGUCUCACGCCAAGGGAAUCAAGGACGUGGACACACAAGAAAUGGAGUCCCUGUCUGACCGGGCCAUGUUGUAUGUUCCUUGCUGUACACGUGGUUGACAAAGAAAAGGGAAGAUGGAGCUGCGAUGUUGGACAUGCCUGGCCCCCAGGACAUACAGCCCUGCCGAGCAAAUAAUGAACGUAACUCACAAACUUCCUGCUUAUCAUCAAACGCACGCAUCCACUUAUCAUCAAACACCUCGGGUGACAGAAGAAUGCAGGUCAGCUCCCUGCUGCCUUGGCAUUAUCAAUCAGCCCAGGAACCAUCCUAUAAAAUCUCCAGCAAGCCUUUGUUUCCUUGCAGUCAGCUCCUCUUCCACUGAUUCUGCCUGUUGCUCCCUGAUAACAUACUUUGAUACUGUCUUUAAUAAAUCUGCCUUUCUUCACCCAC